UAUCUCUGUAGAGUCUGCAUAUCAAUAAGCGGAGGAAAAGAAACUAACAAGGAUUCCCCUAGUAACGGCGAGUGAAGCGGGAAGAGCUCAAAUUUGAAAUCUUCAAGGUUCUACCUUGACGAAUUGUAGUUUAAAGAAGUGUUUUCGGUUAGAGGAGUAGUAAAAGUUCUUUGGAAUAGGACAUCAUAGAGGGUGAGAAUCCCGUAUUUGACUAUUCUUUCUAGCUUUGUGAUACACUUUCAAAGAGUCGGAUUGUUUGGGAAUGCAGUCCAAAAUGGGUGGUAAAUUUCAUCUAAAGCUAAAUAUUGGCGAGAGACCGAUAGCGAACAAGUACCGUGAGGGAAAGAUGAAAAGAACUUUGAAAAGAGAGUUAAACAGUACGUGAAAUUGUCAAAAGGGAAGCGUUUGACACCAGUGUUGUUUUUUCCGAAAAUCAAUUAAAAAUUGAUUCAUGCCAGGUUGUAUUGACCUUAUCAGCUUGCAAUUUGGUUUUGGGUCUCUUUUUGAUGCACUUUUCGGUUAACAAGUCAACAUCAAUUUCCUUUGCUGUAAAAAGGUAAGAGGAAGGUGGCUUCAAUUUCGGUUGAAGUGUUUAUAGCCUUUUAUCUCUGCAGUCGGGGAGAUUGAGGUCUGCAGCGUAGAUCCUUCGGGGCUAGAUACAUUUAUGCUAAGUUAUAGCUUUUCAUAGACAACUUGUUGACUAUGUUUAGUCAUGUAGCUUACUCGUAAGUGCUAUUUUACCUACGCUUAGGAUGUUGA
RNAcentral lists this ribosomal RNA (759 nucleotides) under uncultured Neocallimastigales. Its description in RNAcentral is "partial large subunit ribosomal RNA". It matches the Rfam family "Eukaryotic large subunit ribosomal RNA", at positions 24 to 629 of the family's 3401-position model. Lineage: Eukaryota; Fungi; Neocallimastigomycota; Neocallimastigomycetes; Neocallimastigales. The record is from RNAcentral.